UACGUAGGGUGCAAGCGUUGUCCGGAAUUAUUGGGCGUAAAGAGCUCGUAGGCGGUCUGUCGCGUCGGCUGUGAAAACCCGGAGCUCAACUCCUGGCCUGCAGUCGAUACGGGCAAACUGGAGUGUUGCAGGGGAGACUGGAAUUCCUGGUGUAGCGGUGAAAUGCGCAGAUAUCAGGAGGAACACCGGUGGCGAAGGCGGGUCUCUGGGCAACAACUGACGCUGAGGAGCGAAAGCGUGGGGAGCGAACAGG
This 253-nucleotide ribosomal RNA is filed under the name uncultured bacterium. Its description in RNAcentral is "partial 16S ribosomal RNA". It matches the Rfam family "Bacterial small subunit ribosomal RNA", at positions 524 to 776 of the family's 1533-position model. The record is from RNAcentral.